Molecule: non-coding RNA, 287 nt
Organism: Arachis ipaensis
Lineage: Eukaryota; Viridiplantae; Streptophyta; Magnoliopsida; Fabales; Fabaceae
Source: RefSeq, a predicted model, not a curated record
GAUAAAGUCCCAAAUCCUUUCUUGGGAAAGAGAGAAAAAGAUUCAUGCCAAAAUGCAUAUGGAAAAGAAGAAGAAAUGAAGAAGCGUAUCUAUAGCUUAGUUGAUAGGCGACCAAAAUUAUAGGUGAUCCCCACUACGGAUGAUGAAAUUUGGUGUAUAUAUGCAUAGCUCAGGACCAUGUAGUGCCCCAACUUAUGUGUUCCAAAGGUAACAUACUGUCCUUUUUGCAUAUUCAAUUUCCAGAACAACACAUUACUGGUUAAUUAAUUACUUACUUUUAUUUCUUA